CUGGCUCAGAUUGAACGCUGGCGGCGUGCUUAACACAUGCAAGUCGCGCGUGAAAGGACUUCGGUCCGAGUAAAGCGGCGCACGGGUGAGUAACGCGUGGAUGAUCUACCCAUGAGUUGGGAAUAACGGCUGGAAACGGUCGCUAAUACCGAAUACGCUCCGAUUUCAUCUUCGGGGGAAAGGUGGCCUCUGCUUGCAAGCUACUGCUCAUGGAUGAGUCCGCGUCCCAUUAGCUAGUUGGUGGGGUAACGGCCCACCAAGGCGACGAUGGGUAGCCGGUCUGAGAGGAUGACCGGCCACACUGGGACUGGAACACGGCCCAGACUCCUACGGGAGGCAGCAGUGGGGAAUAUUGCGCAAUGGGCGAAAGCCUGACGCAGCGACGCCGCGUGAGGGAAUGAAGGUCCUCGGAUCGUAAACCUCUGUCAGGAGGGAAGAACCGCCACGGUGCUAAUCAGCCGUGGUCUGACGGUACCUCCAAAGGAAGCACCGGCUAACUCCGUGCCAGCCGCCGC
Molecule: ribosomal RNA, 515 nt
Filed under: uncultured bacterium
Lineage: Bacteria
Description: bacterial SSU rRNA
Rfam family: Bacterial small subunit ribosomal RNA
Source: RNAcentral